AUUUUCUUAGUAUAGCAGUACCGAUGACUUCCAAUCAUCUGGCCCCGGUUUAACCCCGAGAGAAAAUA
This 68-nucleotide transfer RNA is filed under the name Leptodactylus fallax (mountain chicken frog). RNAcentral describes it as "tRNA-Gly". It matches the Rfam family "tRNA". From Rfam's summary of the family: Transfer RNA (tRNA) molecules are approximately 80 nucleotides in length. Their secondary structure includes four short double-helical elements and three loops (D, anti-codon, and T loops). Lineage: Eukaryota; Metazoa; Chordata; Amphibia; Anura; Leptodactylidae. The record is from RNAcentral.